RNAcentral lists this transfer RNA (75 nucleotides) under Candidatus Pelagibacter sp. IMCC9063. RNAcentral describes it as "tRNA-Val (GAC) (tRNA-Val-GAC-1-1)". It matches the Rfam family "tRNA". From Rfam's summary of the family: Transfer RNA (tRNA) molecules are approximately 80 nucleotides in length. Lineage: Bacteria; Pseudomonadati; Pseudomonadota; Alphaproteobacteria; Candidatus Pelagibacterales; Candidatus Pelagibacteraceae. The record is from RNAcentral.
GGAACUGUAGCUCAAAAGUAGAGUACUCCGUUGACAUCGGAGGGGUAGUGGGAGCGUUACCCACCAGUUCCACCA